CGAACCACCAGAGUUUGCUGAGACAGAAGCGCCAGGUGGCACUGGUGGCAAUAGACCCUGUAGUGUGGCUCACUUAUUCCCACGGGAGCCUGUACACAGUGUACUAAUUGGCUACGCUCGCGAUGGAGGGGUGACUUCCUGCGCAUCAGUUUCUCGAGCUCUGAUUGGUUACCAGCCAAGGCGAAGCCCUGCCAGUUACCUAGGAUCUGUUUCCUGAGUGGAGAGGCCUGCGGAACAGGGUGGGAACUUAGCUCAACGCCCAAGGUCUCUCCGCUGUGCUUGCACUGCUGCCCACAGUGCCACUGAGGUCUAUUGCAGAGAGGUGACAGAAUCACAUUUUAGAAGCUACAAAGGAGUCCUAAAUGGACUGACUGAAGCCCUGGAGAAGGACAAAAUCGCUCAGGAGAGACUAUAAGGUAAGAAGGAAAGCAUAUUUAUUUGUUUGUACAUUUGUUUGUUUUUCACUAGAAAAACUCAUUCAUUUCUAAUGCUUUUAAUUAAAAUACAAUUACAUCAUUUACACUUCCCAAGUACACACACACUCCAUUAUUCUCUCUCAAAUUCAUGGUCUCUCUCAUUUCUUUAAUUAUAAUAUUUUGGGUUUUUUUUGUUGUUUUUUGUUUUUUUGUUUUUUUUAAACAAGUUGUUACUUUGCAGUUCAAACUGGCUUAAAAAUACUCUAGGUAGACCAGGCUGACCUAAAACUUAUGCCUCAGCCUUCCUAGUGCUGGAAUUUCAGGCUACCAAGCCUAAAGAUGCACCUGUAGAGGAGACAGAGAAGGGGUGGCCAGAGGGGAGUGGUGGGGAGAGCAAGAAGAGGGGAGCAGUUUGGAAGUCAGACAAGAGACUGUUUUGAAAAACAAAUGGUCAAAUGCUGCUGGAUGCUACAAAAGUCCAGAAAAGUAGGAAUUGAAACUACUCAUUAGCUCUGAUAGCAGGGAAGUUGCCUUUAUUGAGAGUUGUGAAAUAGAAGAGGAAGGAGAAUCUGCAUGGAUCAGCUAAGAGGAUAGAACAAAGGAGACAGAGGGGAAGAGCAGUGAUAUCAGAAAUGCAGAAAAAGAGAGGUGGGUGCAACUGUUUAAGGCAUAAAUGUGAAUGUGACCUCACUUGAUUAUCUUUAUUGCUCUUUAUAGAUUAUGUGUAGGGUGGGGA
This 1152-nucleotide long non-coding RNA is filed under the name Mus spicilegus (steppe mouse). Its description in RNAcentral is "lncRNA (ENSMSIG00000029792.1)". The record is from RNAcentral. Lineage: Eukaryota; Metazoa; Chordata; Mammalia; Rodentia; Muridae.